CGAGCGCGACUAGGUGAAGCGCCGGUGGAAGCGGGGCACGGCCGAGUCAUGGCGCGAUACAACGAGCGCCGCCGCGAUAAGGCGAGGUGAGGCUCGGCGAGUCAGGGUCGACGCCAAGGUGGCUGUGGUAGGUGUGGUGGGGUCGAGGCCGGCCGGGUCGACUCGAACGCGAGGCGCGGUGGUGGCACGCCCGGGCGAGGAGCAGAGGUGCGGCGCAGAUGGAGCAGGCCCGGGGCGGCUCGUGUGUGUGUGCGCGUGGGGAACCAGCGAGCCCCGACGGAGCAGGACCAGGGUGGCGAGGGUGUGCAACGGAGAGCCAUAGUUAGCCGCGAUGGAUGGAUGUGUGUGCAGCGAGCGCGGCGGGGCCGAACGGCGGAGGUUUGGC
RNAcentral lists this long non-coding RNA (385 nucleotides) under Hordeum vulgare. RNAcentral describes it as "long non-coding RNA (HVUL_LNC003396)". The record is from RNAcentral. Lineage: Eukaryota; Viridiplantae; Streptophyta; Magnoliopsida; Poales; Poaceae.